UGAGUAACACGUAUCCAACCUGCCGUCUACUCUUGGCCAGCCUUCUGAAAGGAAGAUUAAUCCAGGAUGGCAUCAUGAGUUCACAUGUCCGCAUGAUUAAAGGUAUUUUCCGGUAGACGAUGGGGAUGCGUUCCAUUAGAUAGUAGGCGGGGUAACGGCCCACCUAGUCAACGAUGGAUAGGGGUUCUGAGAAGAAGGUCCCCCACAUUGGAACUGAGACACGGUCCAA
RNAcentral lists this ribosomal RNA (229 nucleotides) under uncultured bacterium. RNAcentral's name for it is "partial 16S ribosomal RNA". It matches the Rfam family "Bacterial small subunit ribosomal RNA", at positions 107 to 334 of the family's 1533-position model. The record is from RNAcentral.